UAACCUGCCUCAUACAGGGGGAUAACAGCUAGAAAUGACUGCUAAUACCGCAUAAGCGCACAGAGAUGCAUGUCUCGGUGUGAAAAGCUGAGGCGGUAUGAGAUGGAUCCGCGUCUGAUUAGCUGGUUGGCGGGGUAGAGGCCCACCAAGGCGACGAUCAGUAGCCGACCUGAGAGGGUGGCCGGCCACAUUGGGACUGAGACACGGCCCAAACUCCUACGGAAGGCAGCAG
RNAcentral lists this ribosomal RNA (232 nucleotides) under uncultured bacterium. RNAcentral's name for it is "partial 16S ribosomal RNA". It matches the Rfam family "Bacterial small subunit ribosomal RNA", at positions 122 to 354 of the family's 1533-position model. The record is from RNAcentral.